GACGAACGCUGGCGGCGUGCUUAACACAUGCAAGUCGAACGGAAAGGCCCUGCUUUUGUGGGGUGCUCGAGUGGCGAACGGGUGAGUAACACGUGAGUAACCUGCCCUUGACUUUGGGAUAACUUCAGGAAACUGGGGCUAAUACCGGAUAGGAGCUCCUGCUGCAUGGUGGGGGUUGGAAAGUUUCGGCGGUUGGGGAUGGACUCGCGGCUUAUCAGCUUGUUGGUGGGUAGUGGCGUAGCAAGGCUUUGACGGGUAGCCGGCCCGAGAGGGUGACCGGCCACAUUGGGACUGAGAUACGGCCCAGACUCCUGCGGGAGGCAGCAGUGGGGAAUAGUGCACAAUGGGCGGAAGCCUGAUGCAGCAACGCCGCGUGCGGGAUGACGGCCUUCGGGUUGUAAACCGCUUUCGCCUGUGACGAAGCGUGAGUGACGGUAAUGGGUAAAGAAGCACCGGCUAACUACGUG
This 467-nucleotide ribosomal RNA is filed under the name uncultured bacterium. RNAcentral's name for it is "partial 16S ribosomal RNA". It matches the Rfam family "Bacterial small subunit ribosomal RNA", at positions 28 to 507 of the family's 1533-position model. The record is from RNAcentral.